This is a long non-coding RNA of Vidua chalybeata, 1837 nucleotides long. RefSeq lists it as uncharacterized. The transcript has 3 exons. The record is from RefSeq and is a predicted model, not a curated record. NCBI's taxonomy places the organism in Eukaryota, Metazoa, Chordata, Aves, Passeriformes, Viduidae.
GUCUCAGAAAUACAACCAGCUUGUUCACCCUUUUUGCAAACCUCUUUUCAGGCUUGGACAACCUGGCUGCGACAGUGGAACCCUCCUAAAAAACGGGUGCCAAGAGACAUAACUGGUGUUGUGGGAACAGAAUUGGGAAUCAAUUCAGAGGUAUUAAUGAAUAACUUGGCUUCUACGACUAGAGAUUUGACCAAAAUACAGCAACCACUGCAGUCAUCCUUAUCGGCCUUGGGAACACAUCAGUGCUUGCUAUCAAACAUUCUACCAAAUUGGGAAAAGAUAAAUGUGAAUGAUAAAAAAUUGAUCAUUGAUGCACUUAAUGCCACACAAAGCAAUGUUUCCUUAGCUCUUAGCUGUAUCCAGGCUCAAUUAUGGAUGCAGUCAGUUGCUGCCUCAAUUAUAAGAGAAGGUGAAGAAGGCUCUUUUCCUACUGAGAUUAGGAAAAUAGUCUGGGACAGUGCCACUGACUUUGAAAGAGAUUUCCAGUCCUGGUGGAAUUUAGUGAAUUUUACCUAUGACCCUAACACAAACACAGCCACAGCAUUUUGUGCUGACCAUAAGUAAUGCCUCAGUGCAUUUGAUAUUCCCUAGCAUCGCAUUAGGAUUAAAUCAUGAUGGACCCACUUUCUAUCCUUCUGAACAUAGAGAAUGGGCCCGUCAAAUUGAUGACAAAUGGCAAACUGUCAAUUUAGAGUCCUGUACUAUCCGAGAACAACUAGGGUUUAUCUGUGAAGGUAAUGCAAUUAUAGCUCAAGAUAUCUGUUUAGACACAGAACAAAAUAGCUGUCAUUUUGAUAUUCAUCCUAACGAGACUUCUGAAACAGUCCUUGUAUCUACAGGCAAUGGGCGUGCCUGCUUCAGAACCGCUUGUGAUACUGUGUUUAUAGAAAGUACAGUAGUAGCUACUAAAAAUCAUUCAAAUUAUUGUGCUUGCAACUUUACUAAAAUUGCAGGAUGUGAUUUUUCUUUUGUAGCUCCAGUUACCUUACAUGAACUUUUAGAAUCCAAUCUCAUGUUGAUUCACAAGCUACUGCCUACUCCCAUUGGGAUGAACCUUACUUUGGUAAAGCAACCAUUACUUCAUCAAGAUCUAAUAGAGAUCCUAGGAAAAAUCAAGGAGAAUGGACAGAAAACUCUGUCCUGAAGACUCCACGACGACACCAUGGAACCCUGCUGAUGAAGAUCUUUCGAGGGCAAUCGUCAGUCACGGGGUGGUGUAAGAGCCCGUCUGAAGCCCCUCAUUUUCCAUUCUGCCUUCCGAUUGCCACGAGAAAGAAUCCCUUCCCCCACUGCAGUUCCGGCUUAGAACAGGACACAGCACAGGUGCAACCACUGAACCGUCAUGCUAGCUGUUCCGAACAAGGCCUGGCAAGAACUUGGCAAGGACUUGGCAAGGACUUGGCAAAGACCUGACGUGGACCCAGCACGGGACAGCCUGAUGCGCGGCCUGCUUCUAAUCUCCGUUCUUAAGCCAAAUGAACUUUUGGGUGAUUCAAAUGGACUUAUUCUUCAUUGGAUUCGUCUUGCUUUGGUGGUUUCUGUGGACUCUCCUCUUCCCGCGUGGCGAUUACAAUGGACUUUCGUUGUUACCCUCGCUCCCCCCUCUUUCCUCUGUGGACUAUAACUGGAGCCCUGAGUCGACCAGAACUUCGGAGACUCCCCCGACACGACAGACAGAACCCCAUCGUCCGGACCACUGAGGAUCUCGCCUGUGUUGGUAGCUAUUCCCAUACCCCUCUUCUCUCUCUCUCUGUCCUUUUAUCUCCUUUCCGAUCCCCACUAUCGCAUUUACUGUUUUGGCCCCUAAUAAAGGUGUGUUUGUUGUGAUUAACUGAUA